GUAGGUGAACCUGCGGAAGGAUCAUUAGUUGUAUUCCAAACCUACUCAACCAAGCCAAUCUGUUGCAGGGCGAAAGCCUCGCAGCUAACAACCUAACCAAAAGCAAGCUAACUAAGCUUCAACCUAAAACCAAAUCCUCAACGAUGGAUAUCUAGGUUCCUACUACGAUGAAGAACGCAGCGAAGUGCGAUAAGCAAUGCGAAUUGCAGAGCCGAGAGUCAUCAGAUUUUUGAACGUAACUGACACCGGAGAGCUCUCUCUUCGGUAUGCUUCUUUCAGUGUGUGAUUCUCUCAUCACCCAAACCUUAAUGCGAUAGAUGCCCUUCUAUUGCUAAGCUUGAAAGCACUCUGUACCCUGCAGCGGAGGUCCGCAAGGACUGACGCACUCAAUGCAGUAGUCACAUUCUCAAAUGUGAACUCAUUGAGCGUAGAGUCAGUGCAUGUUUACAUGCCAGUGCUUAGACACACAAAUUUUCUCAGCAUCUGAAAUGAAGUAGGACCACCCGCUGAACUUAAGCAUAUCAGUA
Molecule: ribosomal RNA, 527 nt
Filed under: Rhabdonella valdestriata
Lineage: Eukaryota; Ciliophora; Spirotrichea; Tintinnida; Rhabdonellidae
Description: eukaryotic LSU rRNA
Rfam family: 5.8S ribosomal RNA (bases 133-284)
Source: RNAcentral